CGGCGCACGGGUGAGUAACACGUAUCCAACCUGCCGUCUACUCUUGGCCAGCCUUCUGAAAGGAAGAUUAAUCCAGGAUGGCAUCAUGAGUUCACAUGUCCGCAUGAUUAAAGGUAUUUUCCGGUAGACGAUGGGGAUGCGUUCCAUUAGAUAGUAGGCGGGGUAACGGCCCACCUAGUCAACGAUGGAUAGGGGUUCUGAGAGGAAGGUCCCCCACAUUGGAACUGAGACACGGUCCAAACUCCUACGGGAGGCAGCAGUGAGGAAUAUUGGUCAAUGGGCGAUGGCCUGAACCAGCCAAGUAGCGUGAAGGAUGACUGCCCUAUGGGUUGUAAACUUCUUUUAUAAAGGAAUAAAGUCGGGUAUGCAUACCCGUUUGCAUGUACUUUAUGAAUAAGGAUCGGCUAACUCCGUGCCAGCAGCCGCGGUAAUACGGAGGAUCCGAGCGUUAUCCGGAUUUAUUGGGUUUAAAGGGAGCGUAGAUGGAUGUUUAAGUCAGUUGUGAAAGUUUGCGGCUCAACCGUAAAAUUGCAGUUGAUACUGGAUGUCUUGAGUGCAGUUGAGGCAGGCGGAAUUCGUGGUGUAGCGGUGAAAUGCUUAGAUAUCACGAAGAACUCCGAUUGCGAAGGCAGCCUGCUAAGCUGCAACUGACAUUGAGGCUCGAAAGUGUGGGUAUCAAACAGG
RNAcentral lists this ribosomal RNA (684 nucleotides) under uncultured Bacteroidales bacterium. Its description in RNAcentral is "bacterial SSU rRNA". It matches the Rfam family "Bacterial small subunit ribosomal RNA", at positions 96 to 776 of the family's 1533-position model. The record is from RNAcentral. Lineage: Bacteria; Pseudomonadati; Bacteroidota; Bacteroidia; Bacteroidales.